RNAcentral lists this ribosomal RNA (301 nucleotides) under uncultured bacterium. RNAcentral's name for it is "partial 16S ribosomal RNA". It matches the Rfam family "Bacterial small subunit ribosomal RNA", at positions 509 to 807 of the family's 1533-position model. The record is from RNAcentral.
CAGUCGCCGCGGGAAUACGUAGGUGGCAAGCGUUGUCCGGAAUUAUUGGGCGUAAAGGGCUCGCAGGCGGUUUCUUAAGUCUGAUGUGAAAGCCCCCGGCUCAACCGGGGAGGGUCAUUGGAAACUGGGAAACUUGAGUGCAGAAGAGGAGAGUGGAAUUCCACGUGUAGCGGUGAAAUGCGUAGAGAUGUGGAGGAACACCAAUGGCGAAGGCGACUCUCUGGUCUGUAACUGACGCUGAGGAGCGAAAGCGUGGGGAGCGAACAGGAUUAGAUACCCGAGUAGUCCCUGUCUCUUAUAC